UAUCAAAGGAUUACAGCCUGAUUUGCCACAAAACUUCUCAACAAGUCUGAUCAUACAAAUAUUCUUGGAGAUUAUUUUAGGAAGCCUAUAUGCUAGUACUUUUGACUGCAGGAAGGGAAACAAAGUUUCUCCGAAGUGGUCAUCUCCAGGAAGCAAGACCUACCGCCCAUAGCUAAAGAAGACCAGUUUCUGGAGAAACAAGGUUCACAGGUAGAUACCGAAAAUUGAGGCUGCUGGAAGUCUGAUUACCAGUAUGGACUCAUGGUACUUUAGAUGCCUCGUGAAGUGAUGGGUUCCUGUAUUGGAGAUGUUCCUACAAAGGCCAGAGCUCCAGGUAGCACAAGCAUCAUAUGGGAGACUCACAAGCUGGGCUGCAAAUUAGGGCAGAAGGAUC
Long non-coding RNA from Balaenoptera acutorostrata (minke whale), 394 nucleotides. RefSeq lists it as uncharacterized. Lineage: Eukaryota; Metazoa; Chordata; Mammalia; Artiodactyla; Balaenopteridae. The transcript is spliced from 4 exons. The record is from RefSeq and is a predicted model, not a curated record.